CUGGGGGAUUGAUUUGAUAAUACAAACCAAACAUGAUUUUUUUGGGUACUUCCCAAAAAGUUCUAUUUCUUUAAUCUACUUUACCCCCAACCAAAAUAAACCUAGUUACUAAUACAGCAUGAAAGGGGUAUUUUUAAUUAUUUCACAUCAAUUUCUAUUUUUAUUUUGUGGGAUUGGAUGUACAUGGAAUGAUCAUUGUACUAUCUAUAUGGCCAAGUUUAUACAUCAAUAUGAAUGA
RNAcentral lists this unclassified non-coding RNA (238 nucleotides) under Hevea brasiliensis (rubber tree). The record is from RNAcentral. Lineage: Eukaryota; Viridiplantae; Streptophyta; Magnoliopsida; Malpighiales; Euphorbiaceae.